AUUGAACGCUGGCGGCAUGCCUUACACAUGCAAGUCGAACGGCAGCACGGGUGCUUGCACCUGGUGGCGAGUGGCGAACGGGUGAGUAAUACAUCGGAACGUACCUUAUCGUGGGGGAUAACGCAGCGAAAGCUGUGCUAAUACCGCAUACGCCCUGAGGGGGAAAGCGGGGGAUCGCAAGACCUCGCGCGAUUAGAGCGGCCGAUGCCUGAUUAGCUUGUUGGUGGGGUAAAAGCCCACCAAGGCGACGAUCAGUAGCUGGUCUGAGAGGACGAUCGGACACACUGGGACUGAGAAACGGCCCAGACUCCUACGUGAGGCAGCAGUGGGGAAUGUUGGCCAAUGGGGGCAACCCUCAUCCAGCAAUGCCGCGUGAGUGAAGAAGGCCUUCGGGUUGUAAAGCUCUUUUGUCAGGGAAGAAACACCGGCUCUAACACAGUCCGGGAAUGACGGUACCUGAAGAAUAAGCACCGGCUAACUACGUGCCAGCAGCCGCCGCCG
This 501-nucleotide ribosomal RNA is filed under the name uncultured bacterium. RNAcentral's name for it is "partial 16S ribosomal RNA". It matches the Rfam family "Bacterial small subunit ribosomal RNA", at positions 29 to 523 of the family's 1533-position model. The record is from RNAcentral.